Chlorocebus sabaeus (green monkey) is the source of this 2396-nucleotide non-coding RNA. The record is from RefSeq and is a predicted model, not a curated record. NCBI's taxonomy places the organism in Eukaryota, Metazoa, Chordata, Mammalia, Primates, Cercopithecidae.
GUUCUGAUAAGGGAUAAAAAUUCGUGCCUCAGAUGGCUCCCGUCACACUAAGAUCUUGCAACAAUAACACUACUGAUUCAGACAUUAAUCUUAAGUAUCCAGGGAACCCUCAAACAUUGUAUCCCACUUACAAGGACCAUGGUAAUUGCCACGUAAAUCCCCUCCAUAAUGUGGCCCUUAUUAUGACCAGCCAGCCAAGGCUUGCCUUUAAAUCAUAUCAAUUGAACCGAGUCUUGUAGAAACACUAUCACCUACACAUACCUCUGCUUCUUUUCAUUAACCUGUUAUCCUCUUUACAAACGGGAUUCUUCACCCACUCCCUUCUUCUAGAUUAGCAAUGCCCUGUUAAAUAAACGAACAUGAAAUUCAAAGGGAAACAGGAGCAAUAAUCAUUACCAGCUGCCGUGGUAAGCAUUGCGAAAACACUCACGAUUCACAGAAAAAUCCAUGCUGUUCUUUGAAGGCAUUCAAGCCUUAAUAGCUAGCUUGAUGAAUGUUUAACUUCUAGGCCAGGCACUACUCUGUCCCAACAAUAAGUCCUGUACAUUGGAAAAGGUGCCGAGACAUGAACUUUGGUCUUCUCUGCAAUCCAUCUGGAGUAUUCAGUGACAACACCGACUUUGAAGUUGCACUGACCUGGCCAGCCCUGCCACUUACCAGGUUGGUGAGGGUUCAGAUACCCAGAGGGCUAUGCGAUUGUCCAGGAGUCCACUCUGCUAAUUGUGAACUUAAUGAAUCAAGACCAUUGCGAUUGGAAAUCUGUUCUCCUCUGCUGCUGCGUCUCCUCCUUCAUACUCAAGCCAGAAACCAGGAAGGCUAUGGCUUGCUUUUUCACUUCUUGUGUCCUGUUUAAGAAAUACCUGCUAUCCCAAGGCAAUUUUGGAGUAAUUUGCGUCUUGGCAAUGUAGAGUCUUUCGAACCAUAACCAUGAUUGCAAACUCCUACAGAAGGGCUCAACAGUGAGUGUUGAGGGUGCACAGAGGAGGAAGGCAGCACAAUGAUGGAAGACUUCUUAAAGAGGUACUCAUAAUAAAGAACAGGAUAUUUGGAGAAGGAAGACAAUAUCAUUCCUGGUUCUUAGUCUUACCGGUUUGUUGAUCAUAACACUAACGGAGUUGACCUUAGAAUUGGAGUGCCUGGGUUAGAACCUUGGUAUCACCUUCUUACUGUAAGACUUUGGUCAAGCAUACUUCUGAUGUGAGUUCAGGAGAAGACACUGGCAAGGACAGCAAAGAACAGGAGAACACUCUAGCUUCCCUGAUAGCAUUCGAGGUGCUGUCCAAAACCUUGCCAUCGUAUCCCCUUUUGGAGACACAAGCCAGGAAGGAAGCUCUUCAGUGCAGCUGUGAAUAGAGAAACGCUGGCCGAGGAUUUGGGGACACGGGUGAUCAAUCCCAGUGAAAUUUUUAGAUCCCUGGGGACAUGAGCUGCUCUGUGUUUUCCAAGGUCAGGAUAAACAGAAUAACUUCAGGCUCCUCUACCCAGAAAGAACAUGUGGUAUAAACAUCAACUGCAGAAUAAAUAUGAUUAAGCUGGUACAUGGACAAAGAUGUUUUCUAGGAGAUGCUUAUCCUGGGAUAAGAGCUUUCAUAAGUGUUGGUGUUUACAUGACUCUUACUGUGUGUCAGGAACUGUUCUAAGUAUUUUACCUACGUCAAUUCAUUUGAUAGUCACAACCACUGAAAGAGGUAAGUACUCUUAUUACUUCCAUUUUACAGAUAGGGAAACUGAGGUAUAGAGAAGUCAAGUGACUUGUCCAAGGUUAUUAAGCUACCUAAUAUCAACACUAGGAUUUGAACCCAGAUCAUUUGUUUCUGAAGUACACGCUCACAAACACUGCAUUACUGAUACACUGUUUUGUCUUUGCAUACUUAAGUGGUCAUAACUUAAUCCGAAACACUUUGUGAGAGCAGGAAGCAAACUGUCCCCUUGUUAUGUGGACCAGUAUAGUGAUAAUACAAAAAUGUCUUGGCAAGAAUUACUUGCCAAUAUCUUCUAAUUGAGGCAAUUUUUAACAAGAAUAUACAUAUCUAGUCUCUAUUUUUCUCGCUAGAAGUUCUAAAAUCCCUGGACUUAAUAUUAUAUGGUAACAAUUGGCUGGAGUUGAGUUGCUGCCACUCUCUUUUAAUUGAGACAUGUUCCCUCCAAUUUGCUACAGGCCCCACCACUCCCUAUUGCCUCUCCAAUACCAGGCCAUUUGGCAUCUUAUUCAGCUCAUUUCGUGCACAUGUGUUCCACAAUUGGUAACAUAACCCUAAAAGUAUUUGGGUUUGUGGCUCCUGCUCUUGUGACAGAAGAUUUUUCUCCAAUUCCAAGGUCCAGAUAUACCAUAUUGACUUUGGGCAAAAUUUUUUUAAUGUGCUCAAGCUCAGUUUUUCUCCUUAAAAAAUGAGGAU